RNAcentral lists this ribosomal RNA (496 nucleotides) under uncultured bacterium. Its description in RNAcentral is "partial 16S ribosomal RNA". It matches the Rfam family "Bacterial small subunit ribosomal RNA", at positions 29 to 507 of the family's 1533-position model. The record is from RNAcentral.
AUGAACGCUGGCGGCGUGCCUAAUACCUGCAAGUCGAGCGAACAGACGAGGAGCUUGCUCCUCUGACGUUAGCGGCGGACGGGUGAGUAACACGUGGAUAACCUACCUAUAAGACUGGGAUAACUUCGGGAAACCGGAGCUAAUACCGGAUAAUAUAUUGAACCGCAUGGUUCAAUAGUGAAAGACGGUUUUGCUGUCACUUAUAGAUGGAUCCGCGCCGCAUUAGCUAGUUGGUAAGGUAACGGCUUACCAAGGCGACGAUGCGUAGCCGACCUGAGAGGGUGAUCGGCCACACUGGAACUGAGACACGGUCCAGACUCCUACGGGAGGCAACAGUAGGGAAUCUUCCGCAAUGGGCGAAAGCCUGACGGAGCAACGCCGCGUGAGUGAUGAAGGUCUUCGGAUCGUAAAACUCUGUUAUUAGGGAAGAACAAAUGUGUAAGUAACUAUGCACGUCUUGACGGUACCUAAUCAGAAAGCCACGGCUAACUACGUG